This 253-nucleotide ribosomal RNA is filed under the name uncultured bacterium. RNAcentral describes it as "partial 16S ribosomal RNA". It matches the Rfam family "Bacterial small subunit ribosomal RNA", at positions 524 to 776 of the family's 1533-position model. The record is from RNAcentral.
UACGAGGGGGGCAAGCGUUGUUCGGAAUUACUGGGCGUAAAGGGCGCGUAGGCGGCGCGGUAAGUCACUUGUGAAACCUCUAGGCUUAACCUAGAGCCUGCAGGCGAAACUGCCGUGCUGGAGUGUGGGAGAGGCGAGUGGAAUUCCUGGUGUAGCGGUGAAAUGCGCAGAUAUCAGGAGGAACACCUAUUGCGAAGGCAGCUCGCUGGGACGUAACUGACGCUGAGACGCGAAAGCGUGGGGAGCAAACAGG